Molecule: ribosomal RNA, 473 nt
Filed under: uncultured bacterium
Lineage: Bacteria
Description: bacterial SSU rRNA
Rfam family: Bacterial small subunit ribosomal RNA
Source: RNAcentral
GAUGAACGCUGGCGGCGUGCCUAACACAUGCAAGUCGUACGAGCUCGAUCUUCGGAACGGGUUAGUGGCGCACGGGUGAGUAACACGUAGGUGACCUACCCCAGAGUGGGGGAUAACUUCUCGAAAGAGAGGCUAAUACCGCAUACACUCGGUCAUUCAUUUGGCCGAGCAAAGCUCCGGCGCUUUGGGACGGGCCUGCGUCCGAUUAGCUAGUUGGUGGGGUAAUGGCUUACCAAGGCUUUGAUCGGUAGCUGGUCUGAGAGGACGAUCAGCCACACUGGCACUGACACACGGGCCAGACUCCUACGGGAGGCAGCAGUGAGGAAUAUUGGGCAAUGGGCGAAAGUCUGACCCAGCAACGCCGCGUGAGGGAUGAAGGCCUUCGGGUUGUAAACCUCUUUCUGGGAGAAGAGACAAGGACGGUAUCCCACGGAAUAAGUCUCGGCUAACUACGUGCCAGCAGCCGCGGUAAU